This 512-nucleotide long non-coding RNA is filed under the name Rattus norvegicus (Norway rat). Its description in RNAcentral is "long non-coding RNA NONRATT027539". Lineage: Eukaryota; Metazoa; Chordata; Mammalia; Rodentia; Muridae. The record is from RNAcentral.
GCAGCGUUAGAGGGCUCACCCUGGUGGUGUAAAGAGUCAACUACCACCCAGACCCAGAUCCUGGGCUUUGAGUUGCCCCUCUCCAAAAUCUACAUUAUCUCUGAACUGUUGGGGUGUGUGAAAGGGCCAGCCGUGCUGAUUCUAAGCUGCAGGAUCUCCAUGACACAGGGCAACAAGAGUCUAACCAGGAGGAUUCCACAUGAGGAUUAAAUACUGAGGGUGUUAAAGAAACCAGAGACUUCGAACCAGACCAAUGACUCAUUGCAAUGAGCAUGUGUAAGUGAAGAUGUGUGGACAGAGGGAUAUACUGUGAGACACACUGUGGUAUAACAAACUGUUUUCUAUGAUUUGUUUUGUUCUGUUUAUUUUUGUUUGUGUGUGUGUGUGUGUGUUUUAUUUGAGGGAGGAUGUUGCAAGGGUGGAGAGCAGAUACGAGGGCAUGGGAAGGUGAAAGGGACUGAGGUGCAUAAUGUAAAACUCACAAAGCAUCAAUAAAAAGUUUUGUAAUUACA